AUCUUUGUGCUUAGGGCAAUGACGCAGCAGUGAGGUUCUAACCGAGGUGCGUCUGUUGUUGGUUGAAAACUAUUUUUAAAACCCCUCUUCGACCUGAGCUUGUCUUAGGCUGUUGAGAAUUUCUAGAAGGGCUCCCUUUGGGGUAAAGCC
Molecule: small nuclear RNA, 150 nt
Filed under: Cephalotus follicularis
Lineage: Eukaryota; Viridiplantae; Streptophyta; Magnoliopsida; Oxalidales; Cephalotaceae
Description: U4 spliceosomal RNA
Rfam family: U4 spliceosomal RNA
About the family: U4 small nuclear RNA (U4 snRNA) is a component of the major U2-dependent spliceosome. The structure of U4 snRNA from yeast and human has been reported. U4 snRNA presents a k-turn RNA motif in the 5p-SL related to recognition of Snu13 protein.
Source: Rfam by way of RNAcentral